CCUACGGGUGGCAGCAGUGGGGGAUAUUGCACAAUGGGGGGAACCCUGAUGCAGCGACGCCGCGUGGGUGAAGGAGUGCUUCGGCAUGUAAAGCCCUAUCGGCAGGGAAGAAGCAAGACGGUACCUGACUAAGAAGCCCCGGCUAACUACGUGCCAGCAGCCGCGGUAAUACGUAGGGGGCGAGCGUUAUCCGGAUUCACUGGGUGUAAAGGGAGCGUAGACGGCCAUGCAAGCCAGGGGUGAAAGCCCGGGGCCCAACCCCGGGACUGCCCUUGGAACUGUGCGGCUAGAGUGCGGGAGGGGCAGGCGGAAUUCCUGGUGUAGCGGUGAAAUGCGUAGAGAGCAGGAGGAACACCGGCGGCGAAGGCGGCCUGCUGGACUGCGACUGACGUUGAGGCUCGAAAGCGUGGGGAGCGAACAGGAUUAGAUACCCCGGUAGUC
This 441-nucleotide ribosomal RNA is filed under the name uncultured bacterium. Its description in RNAcentral is "partial 16S ribosomal RNA". It matches the Rfam family "Bacterial small subunit ribosomal RNA", at positions 338 to 795 of the family's 1533-position model. The record is from RNAcentral.